RNAcentral lists this microRNA precursor (104 nucleotides) under Canis lupus familiaris (dog). RNAcentral's name for it is "mir-8834 microRNA precursor family". It matches the Rfam family "mir-8834 microRNA precursor family". The record is from Rfam by way of RNAcentral. Lineage: Eukaryota; Metazoa; Chordata; Mammalia; Carnivora; Canidae.
AGGAGGAACAACCCCAGUGGCGUGGCCAGCUCUGAGCCCUGGAUUCAUCUCCCACAGGAACUACAGAGCUCUCCAUCUGCAGGGCCUGGAGGCUCCGGGGCGGG